Molecule: long non-coding RNA, 2945 nt
Filed under: Sus scrofa (pig)
Lineage: Eukaryota; Metazoa; Chordata; Mammalia; Artiodactyla; Suidae
Description: lncRNA (ENSSSCG00030037928.1)
Source: RNAcentral
CAUUCUAGCUGUGCUUUAGAAAAAAUACUCCUUGUGUGUGCAUGCAUGCGUAUGUGUGCGUGUAUGUGUGUGCACAUGGUGGGGAACAGAAGGGGAGAAACAGGAGGCUGGAAAGAAGACUUUUGCAUCGCCCAGACAAUACACGAUGACGGCUUAGACGAGGGUGGUUGCACUGGGAGUGGUAAGAAACGGUGGAUUCCAAGUAUAUUUUGAGAGCAAAGCUGACAUGAUUUGUGACGAAUUGGAGGUAGGAGAAGCUUGAAGUCUUUUGGCUGGGUUAAUAGAAAGGAAGGGGUUGCCAUCUGCUGAGCAGGAGAUGAUUGAGAGAAGCAGGUUUGGGUGGGGUGGAGUGGGGGAGUCAGGGGUUCACGUUCCAGCAUGUCAAACCGGAGGAGCCUCUAAGACGUCCCGGUGGAAAUGCGGUGGUUAAUUACUUACCUUCCUGUGCCUGGUGAGGUCGUUGGUAGAUUGGCGCUGUUAACAAUGCCCGUCUCCCCCGCGGAGGACUGCUGCGAGGAGUCAGAGUUAGCAGCUUAAAGGACUUGGCCAGAGCUCACGGUAACCACUCAGAUGUUAUUGUCAUGAAUAGCCUUGGUGAAUUCACAUUUUCUUAGAAAAUUUGAAAAGGAAAUACCACGUACUUGAGUGCAAUAGAGCCCAUCCGUAGAGUCAUAGAAUUAGAGGCAGAAGUGAAAUUCUACCCUUAUUUUAAGGCUGAGAUGACCGACGCAUGGCCAGGGACCAGGAGGCUCGUGGCGCGUCUAGAAUCCAGGUCUGGAUUCCAGGGCUUCGGCCCCUCCAGCCUGUCAUUCUCCCAUGACAUAAUGCUUCCCAUGAAGCAGUUUUCCCCCAGGGUCUCGACGUUAAAGGGUGUUUGCUAACAACCCAAGAUGAUUUAAUGCCUAGCAAGGCUUCUCGAAGAGCAGGGAGCAAUCUGGGCCCUGGGAGAAGGCAGCGUGUGGGUGAGGUUCACAUCUCACGCCCUGCUUAGAAGUGAGAGGUGUGGGAGGAAGUGACCUAAGGCAGUCAUAACCCCCAGGGGACCCGGCCUCAGCAUCCCCCACCCCCGCUAGGAAGGCUCUUUUCUGUUGUGAGGAUAUCACAGGAUCCAGCGUCCUCUGUCACAUGGGCCCGCUCCGCCAGGGGGAAGGGGUGACACGACAGAGGUGGCAGUAAAGUCAGGGCUCCCGAGUGGCUCCUCUUCCUCCCAUCUCAUCUCCUCUUGCCCUUCACCCCCCGCCCCCAACUUCCAGGUUAAUGCUGCCCAGGAAUUACAUGCGUCUGAUCUUUUCCAUUCAUCUUCAGAGGGCAAUUAAUGCAUAAUUUAUUCUUGAGCCCUUUUGAGAGUCUGAAGUUGCUGUUGAAGGGCUUUGUGGCAGGCCUGGAAAUGAGGGCAUCAGAGCCUUUUCCAUUAAGGCCCCAUCGCAGCUGUGCGCACAGGAAAGCUGAAGGCUGGAGUAUUCCCAGGGCUUUCUAACUCCUCCCAGAGUGAGGACUUUGAACCCAAGGAGAGGAGCAGCCUCUCCCCUUGCCCGUGGGAACAUGCUCUCUGCCCACGGGGCUCAUAGCCAAGCUCUCCUCCCUCCAUGAGCCCCAGGCUCUGCCUUGUGGUCUAGCCCAGCGCGUCUUGGGACGCUAGGGGCAGUGGGCAGCAGGCUGAGUGUUGAGAGACCCCAGAGGCCAAGGGGCCAGCUUCUGCUUCCCUGCCCACAACCACCCCCACAACCCCUAACUUGGUAACAAAUGCUAAUUUUGUUUGUAGCAGAAAUGUUACAAAUUCCUAAUGAACCAAUGAGAAGGAAGAGAAGCUGACUGACUGGGGCUUUUGGGAGAGCUAUUGCUUUUCUUUGCUUUUUUUAAAAAAAAUUCUAUUGGAGUAUCUUUGACUCGCAUAUUGUAUUGGUUUUGGGUGUACAGCAACAUUAUUCACUUAAACAUAUACAUAUAUCUGAACUAUUGCUUUUCUGAUUAAAAAAAAAAAAAGCGCAGUGUCCAGAGUAGAGAUUUUGAUCAUGAUACUGAAAGGCCCCAACUAAGGAUGGCAAAGCAGAGGGACCCAGGGAGUCGGGGGCCAGUCGUCCCUACAGAUGUGCUGGACCAGUACCUCACCUGGACCUCUUAUGAGUGAGAGGAAACCGUCCCCCCUUGAGUAAGCUGAGGUCUGGGAGCUUUGUUCUUGCCCCUGAGAGCAGUCCGAACGGCGGCCUGUGUCUCCCAGCUGCAGGUGGAAGCUUGGCUGCUGUGUGGCCUUAGGAACUGCACUUGAACUCUAAGCCCCAGCUGCCCCAUUUCUAACAUGAGGACAGUAGUCUCUUCCCUGCACACGGGUCCUUAGUGCGUUCCAGGGACUUCCGUAAGUGUCCCUAGGCUAGGCCUUGCCCCUCUAUUGUGUGGGGGGAAGCAUGAUGUGGAACAAGGCAGGAGGGAGCGUCUGGAGGGGGCAGGAGUGAACAGGCCAAGAGAGGCACUGUCUCGAGGACAGAUCAGUCUCUGAGUCCAGCACCAGGAAGCAGACCCAAAGGUGUGAAUUCACCUGAGGCAGGCUCAGCUAAGCUUCCUGGGCAGGAAACCAGGGCCUGUGUGUGGGUGGGCCUGGUGCGCAGGUGAGGCUGCAGCUGGGAGGUGAGGAUGCUGGGGCUGUUGGUGGGUCUUCACACUUCCCCUGUAAGGAUGAUGAAAGAAGUGUGUGAGUCUCUGUGUGUGCGCGCAUGUGCAGAGUUCCCGUCGUGGCGCAGUGGUGAACAAACCCAACUAGGAGCCAUGAGGUUGUGGGUUCGAUCCCUGGCCUUGCACAGUGGGUUAAGGAACCGGUGUUGCUGUGAACUGUGGUGUGGGUCGCAGACGCAGCUCGGAUCUGGCGUGGCUGUGGUUCUGAUGCAGGCCGACGGCUAUAGCUCCGAUUGGACCUCUAGCCCGGGAACCUCCAUUUGCCACAGGUGUAGCCC